RNAcentral lists this ribosomal RNA (294 nucleotides) under uncultured microorganism. RNAcentral's name for it is "partial 16S ribosomal RNA". It matches the Rfam family "Bacterial small subunit ribosomal RNA", at positions 505 to 796 of the family's 1533-position model. The record is from RNAcentral.
GUGCCACCACCCGCGGUAAUACUUAGGGCGCAGGCGUAAUCCCGGAAUUAUUGGGCCGUAAGGAGCUCGUAGGCGGUUUGUCGCGUCUGCCGUGAAAGUCCGGGGCUCAACUCCGGAUCUGCGGUGGGUACGGGCAGACUAGAGUGAUGUAGGGGAGACUGGAAUUCCUGGUGUAGCGGUGAAAUGCGCAGAUAUCAGGAGGAACACCGAUGGCGAAGGCAGGUCUCUGGGCAUUAACUGACGCUGAGGAGCGAAAGCAUGGGGAGCGAACAGGAUUAGAUACCCUGGUAGUCC